Molecule: ribosomal RNA, 392 nt
Filed under: uncultured organism
Description: bacterial SSU rRNA
Rfam family: Bacterial small subunit ribosomal RNA
Source: RNAcentral
CAGAGGGCGCGAGCGUUGUCCGGAAUCACUGGGCGUAAAGGGCGCGUAGGUGGCCACUAUAAGGCUGUGGUGAAAGUUCGGGGCUCAACCCCGAAUCUGCCGCGGCGACUGUAGGGCUUGGGCACUGUAGAGGCAGAUGGAAUUCCGGGUGUAGCGGUGGAAUGCGUAGAGAUCCGGAAGAACACCAGUGGCGAAGGCGGUCUGCUGGGCAGUGGGAGCGCAAGCUCCUCUUAGCCGACACUGAGGCGCGACAGCGUGGGGAGCAAACAGGAUUAGAUACCCUGGUAGUCCACGCCGUAAACGAUGGGCACUAGGUGCUUUGGGGAGCGACCCCCGGGGUACCGGCGCUAACGCAUGAAGUGCCCCGCCUGGGGAGUACGGCCGCAAGGCUG